UGCGCAGGCGGUUUUUUAAGACAAUCGUGAAAUCCCCGGGCUCAACCUGGGAAUUGCGAUUGUGACUGCAAGGCUGGAGUGCGGCAGAGGGGGAUGGAAUUCCGCGUGUAGCAGUGAAAUGCGUAGAUAUGCGGAGGAACACCGAUGGCGAAGGCAAUCCCCUGGGCCUGCACUGACGCUCAUGCACGAAAGCGUGGGGAGCAAACAGGAUUAGAUACCCCAGUA
RNAcentral lists this ribosomal RNA (225 nucleotides) under uncultured Hydrogenophaga sp. RNAcentral's name for it is "partial 16S ribosomal RNA". It matches the Rfam family "Bacterial small subunit ribosomal RNA", at positions 568 to 792 of the family's 1533-position model. The record is from RNAcentral. Lineage: Bacteria; Pseudomonadati; Pseudomonadota; Betaproteobacteria; Burkholderiales; Comamonadaceae.